UACUGUUAAAAACAAACUCAUUUUUUAUGUUAAGUUUAUAUUCUUUCACAUUAAGUUGUGAUUUUCUUAUUACUGUUAUUAACUUAAACAUCUAAUAAACAAUGUCAUAACAACCAAACCAGAAUUUAAACUAUUUGAAAAUCAUGGAGUUUGUAUAUGUUUGUUUAUUUAUUUAUUUAUUUAUUUAUUUACAGAAACCCAGAUGAGCUCUCACAAGAAGAUUGACGGUAGCAAGAAUGUGACAGAGGUAGGUGUAACAGUAUCUACACCUCCAACAUAUUGUGUUGGAGAGAAUUUCAAGAGGCCAAAGGCAAGGCCACUUUAAAAUACACGAAUGCCAUUGACUUACUUCAGGUUUGUUCCCUGACAAAAACAAAAGAAAAUGGUUUCCUAAUCAAGAACGAGCAAACAAAUCAUGGAAAAAUGUAACUAUUUCUUCAAAAGCAGAAAACAUUUUUAAGAAACGUUUAGCAUACAAUGGAUUGCAUUGAUAUUUUUUCACUGUGGUAGCUAACUAUCAAAAUAUGGACCGAUUUCUCUCAGCACCGGCACCACUUUAAUUGAGACAUUAAAAAUAUUGCGGGUCUCUGAGCAGUCUGCAAAUGCAGAAUGACAGUAGGCUCUGUGUAAACAGAGAGCAAAGGGCCAGUUUAAGUGCACUUAUGGCUAUUGGCGCUACGGACCAUCUGUGCCUCUCAGAUGGACAUGCUUGUCAAGAGGACCUCUGACAUGGAGGUGGGCCUGAAGAGGACCAGAAGUGGACGGAUCAUAAAGUCUGCCACGGAGUCGAACUUGACUUUGAGCAACAACAAGCCGACAACUAUGAAGGAAAAAACGGUAUCUCCGUAUGACAUCCUCAACAGCCAGGAAACACCAUCCACCUCCGCACCUGUGAAGAAACGCAAAUUCAGCGAACCCAAAGAGCGCUACUGACCUCACUGCUAGCACAGCAGUAAUGCUGUCAUGAUCUAUGUUGAUGUUUUAAUUUUCAAACUUGAAAAAACCUAAAAAGUUAAGUUCAUUUAUGAAAAUGUUUUUUAACAAUACUGUGAGGUUGCUGUAGCUUUCACUGUAUAGUUUAUUUGAACGAGCUGUGCUGCAGUUUAAUAUCAUUUAAUAUCAGUUUAUGUUGCCUUUUAAUUGUUAUGUUUUACUGUUCUGAGUUACCUGUGUUCAAAGAGGGACUACUUAAUAAACUACAGAAAAAUGCAUCAAAAUC
This 1219-nucleotide long non-coding RNA is filed under the name Mastacembelus armatus (zig-zag eel). RNAcentral describes it as "lncRNA (ENSMAMG00000027485.1)". The record is from RNAcentral. Lineage: Eukaryota; Metazoa; Chordata; Actinopteri; Synbranchiformes; Mastacembelidae.